CCAUUAGCACAACAGCUUGUACAACGUACUUACAGCCCUAACAAAGUAGCUUGUUCACUGCCCUUACAAGUUUCCGUGUUUUUCGUUUCCGUUGCUGGAACUCCCGUUAACUCACAGAACUCCGUUAGGGCAACGUCUUGUUUUCCCUAGUUAAUUCCAUUGCUUGUUUAAUUGAAUCUAUUGAGCAUAUGAUAGAGAAUGUCAAAUAGUCAUCUAGCUCCGAAACUCUAAUAAGCUAGCUCAGUUAGCG
This 250-nucleotide long non-coding RNA is filed under the name Musa acuminata (dwarf banana). RNAcentral describes it as "long non-coding RNA (MACU_LNC010110)". The record is from RNAcentral. Lineage: Eukaryota; Viridiplantae; Streptophyta; Magnoliopsida; Zingiberales; Musaceae.